GACGAACGCUGGCGGCGUGCCUAACACAUGCAAGUCGAACGGAACUGUUUUGAAAGAUUUCUUCGGAAUGAAUUUGAUUUAGUUUAGUGGCGGACGGGUGAGUAACGCGUGAGUAACCUGCCUUCAAGAGGGGAAUAACAUUCUGAAAAGAAUGCUAAUACCGCAUGACAUAUCGGAACCACAUGGUUUUGAUAUCAAAGAUUUUAUCGCUUGAAGAUGGACUCGCGUCCGAUUAGUUAGUUGGUGAGGUAACGGCUCACCAAGACCGCGAUCGGUAGCCGGACUGAGAGGUUGAACGGCCACAUUGGGACUGAGACACGGCCCAGACUCCUACGGGAGGCAGCAGUGGGGGAUAUUGCGCAAGGGGGGCAACCCUGACGCAGCAACGCCGCGUGAAGGAUGAAGGUUUUCGGAGUGUAAACUUCUUUUAUUAAGGACGAAAAAUGACGGUACUUAAUGAAUAAGCUCCGGCUAACUACGUG
This 482-nucleotide ribosomal RNA is filed under the name uncultured bacterium. RNAcentral describes it as "partial 16S ribosomal RNA". It matches the Rfam family "Bacterial small subunit ribosomal RNA", at positions 28 to 507 of the family's 1533-position model. The record is from RNAcentral.